Molecule: microRNA, 20 nt
Filed under: Corchorus olitorius
Lineage: Eukaryota; Viridiplantae; Streptophyta; Magnoliopsida; Malvales; Malvaceae
Description: bta-miR-24
Source: RNAcentral
UAUGUGUUUUUUUUUGUUUU